Molecule: RNase P RNA, 326 nt
Filed under: Actinomycetaceae bacterium
Lineage: Bacteria; Bacillati; Actinomycetota; Actinomycetes; Actinomycetales; Actinomycetaceae
Description: RNase P RNA component class A
Rfam family: Bacterial RNase P class A
About the family: Ribonuclease P (RNase P) is a ubiquitous endoribonuclease, found in archaea, bacteria and eukarya as well as chloroplasts and mitochondria. Its best characterised activity is the generation of mature 5'-ends of tRNAs by cleaving the 5'-leader elements of precursor-tRNAs. Cellular RNase Ps are ribonucleoproteins.
Source: RNAcentral
GCAGUUGGUCGGACGGUCGCGGCAAUGCCGAGGAAAGUCCGGGCUCCUUAGGGCAGGGUGGUGGCUAACGGCCACCCAGGGUGACCUGCGGGAAAGUGCCACAGAAAACAAACCGCCGCUUUGCGGUAAGGGUGAAAAGGUGAGGUAAGAGCUCACCGCGGCUCAGGUGACUGGGCUGGCAUGGUAAACCCCACCCGGAGCAAGACCGAGCAGCAGGAAGGUGGUCCGCUUUCGCCUGCGGGUAGGUUGCUAGAGGUCAGCAGUAAUGCUGGUCCAAGAUGGAUGACCGUCUAUUACAGAACCCGGCUUAUAGACCAACUUUGGGA